GACGAACGCUGGCGGCGUGCUUAACACAUGCAAGUCGAACGGAAAGGCCCUGCUUUUGUGGGGUGCUCGAGUGGCGAACGGGUGAGUAACACGUGAGUAACCUGCCCUUGACUUUGGGAUAACUUCAGGAAACUGGGGCUAAUACCGGAUAGGAGCUCCUGCUGCAUGGUGGGGGUUGGAAAGUUUCGGCGGUUGGGGAUGGACUCGCGGCUUAUCAGCUUGUUGGUGGGGUAGUGGCUUACCAAGGCUUUGACGGGUAGCCGGCCUGAGAGGGUGACCGGCCACAUUGGGACUGAGAUACGGCCCAGACUCCUACGGGAGGCAGCAGUGGGGAAUAUUGCACAAUGGGCGGAAGCCUGAUGCAGCAAUGCCGCGUGCGGGAUGACGGCCUUCGGGUUGUAAACCGCUUUCGCCUGUGACGAAGCGUGAGUGACGGUAAUAGGUAAAGAAGCACCGGCUAACUACGUG
This 468-nucleotide ribosomal RNA is filed under the name uncultured bacterium. RNAcentral describes it as "partial 16S ribosomal RNA". It matches the Rfam family "Bacterial small subunit ribosomal RNA", at positions 28 to 507 of the family's 1533-position model. The record is from RNAcentral.